UGGCGGCGUGCUUAACACAUGCAAGUCGAACGGAAAGGCCCUGCUUUUGUGGGGUGCUCGAGUGGCGAACGGGUGAGUAACACGUGAGUAACCUGCCCUUGACUUUGGGAUAACUUCAGGAAACUGGGGCUAAUACCGGAUAGGAGCUCCUGCUGCAUGGUGGGGGUUGGAAAGUUUCGGCGGUUGGGGAUGGACUCGCGGCUUAUCAGCUUGUUGGUGGGGUAGUGGCUUACCAAGGCUUUGACGGGUAGCCGGCCUGAGAGGGUGACCGGCCACAUUGGGACUGAGAUACGGCCCAGACUCCUACGGGAGGCAGCAGUGGGGAAUAUUGCACAAUGGGCGGAAGCCUGAUGCAGCAACGCCGCGUGCGGGAUGACGGCCUUCGGGUUGUAAACCGCUUUCGCCUGUGACGAAGCGUGAGUGACGGUAAUGGGUAAAGAAGCACCGGCUAACUACGUGCCAGCAGCCGCGGUGAUACGUAGGGUGCGAGCGUUGUCCGGAUUUAUUGGGCGUAAAGGGCUCGUAGGUGGUUGAUCGCGUCGGAAGUGUAAUCUUGGGGCUUAACCCUGAGCGUGCUUUCGAUACGGGUUGACUUGAGGAAGGUAGGGGAGAAUGGAAUUCCUGGUGGAGCGGUGGAAUGCGCAGAUAUCAGGAGGAACACCAGUGGCGAAGGCGGUUCUCUGGGCCUUUCCUGACGCUGAGGAGCGAAAGCGUGGGGAGCGAACAGGCUUAGAUACCCUGGUAGUCCACGCUGUAAACGGUGGGUACUAGGUGUGGGGUCCAUUCCACGGGUUCCGUGCCGUAGCUAACGCUUUAAGUACCCCGCCUGGGGAGUACGGCCGCAAGGCUAAAACUCAAAGGAAUUGACGGGGCCCCGCACAAGCGGCGGAGCAUGCGGAUUAAUUCGAUGCAACGCGUAGAACCUUACCUGGGUUUGACAUGGAUCGGGAGUGCUCAGAGAUGGGUGUGCCUCUUUUGGGGUCGGUUCACAGGUGGUGCAUGGCUGUCGUCAGCUCGUGUCGUGAGAUGUUGGGUUAAGUCCCGCAACGAGCGCAACCCUUGUUCACUGUUGCCAGCACGUUAUGGUGGGGACUCAGUGGAGACCGCCGGGGUCAACUCGGAGGAAGGUGGGGAUGACGUCAAGUCAUCAUGCCCCUUAUGUCCAGGGCUUCACGCAUGCUACAAUGGCUGGUACAGAGAGUGGCGAGCCUGUGAGGGCGAGCGAAUCUCGGAAAGCCGGUCUCAGUUCGGAUUGGGGUCUGCAACUCGACCUCAUGAAGUCGGAGUCGCUAGUAAUCGCAGAUCAGCAACGCUGCGGUGAAUACGUUCCCGGGGCUUGUACACACCGCCCGUCAAGUCAUGAAAGUUGGUAACACCCGAAGCCGGUGGCCUAACCGUUGUGGGGGAGCCGUCGAAGGUGGGACUGGUGAUUAGGACUAA
RNAcentral lists this ribosomal RNA (1440 nucleotides) under uncultured organism. RNAcentral describes it as "16S ribosomal RNA". It matches the Rfam family "Bacterial small subunit ribosomal RNA". The record is from RNAcentral.